AGCAUUUACAAAUCUUAUUAUUCAACAAUAUUCACAUUACAACAUCAACACUGCUCUGCUAGUGACAGGUUCUAAUAAUCCCAAUAUAUUGUAUAGUUACUUUGUAAUACAUUAUCGAGAGGCACUUCCAGUAAGUCUGGUAAUAGAGGAGCUACAGUAUUGUGUCUAAAUUACAAAACAGUAAAAAAUAUUUUUUCUAAAAGUUUUUUUUGUCAUAAUAUACUUUUGAAUCUGUACAGUAUAUAUCUUUUAUACAAAGUCAAACAAUAUCUAGAAAUAAAAUUUCAUAUUCCACUUAAACAAAUACUGGUGAAUCACACAAUUUCCCCAUCCUGUAGGUAUUGCUAAAUGUGUUAAGUGCAAGAUAUUGGAGAGAAGAAAAGAAUUGAGUCUGUGAAGCGGCUGCUAUAAUAGAUUUUAAAAAAAACAUCUUGUUUGUCUUGCUUUAAAGGUGGUGAACAAAAAGUUUGUUUUGGUUUCCUUUGUGACAAACAAGCAAAGCUGAGAAUAUAGCAUUCAGACAAUGUAUACAUACAUAAAUGUGACAAUGGUAUGGCACAGCAGCCUGACCCCGUUGACAAAAUGGCUGAAACAACAAACAAUACAAAAAAGAAAUGUUUUUGGUUCAAACCAUCAAAAAGAAAGUACAUGGGCGUCAGUCUGAGAACAGAACAGUUGGUCAGUUACAUUGUAGUGCUACUGGUGCCUAUUGACAUGGCAGUGAAAGAAGAACAAGCUGCAAGGACAACACCUGUCUGUUACAUGAACACUGAAAACUCUUAAAUUGCUUUAAUCUGUCUUAUUUUCACAUGAGAGCAAAAUAUAUGCAUAUCCAGAUAUCCUCACCAGGCUGUGAGUAACACUGACAAAAUAAAACAUGCUCCUUUUAGGGCUUGUUUUGUGCAAAUCACAAAAAACCACAAUGUUCAAAAAGUUUCUUUGGUUUGCACAAGUUCAUCCAGUGUGCAGCAAUCCCCUUCUUCUCGUCAGUUAAAAGAAACCACUCGUACUGGCUUUAAUGAUCUGAAAUAGUUUGGUUGCAGACUCUGCACUUGUGUUGUUUUCUAGCGGAGUUUUUGUAAGAACAAUUUGUAAAUCAAGAGAAAGCGGAAUUGUGAAUGCGCUGGUACAAACCACUGGCUAGUGUCAUCAUGAUGACCGAGACCAAAGAAGCCAACGAAUGACAUGAACUUUUAUCUUGUGGCGGACAAGAAACUUUAAUCUAUGGCAUUUAGAGUGGAAAAAGAACCUAUGGGACUAUAACAGUAGUUUUCCAUGUUUUGGCCCAUUUAAGACAAAGUAAUUACUGUAUAUUGUAUACUUUACAUCACAAAUAAUUGUCUUGCAAAAUAAUGUAGCUUUAUUUUAGAAAUCUGGGUGUAUUUUGUAUUUAAUUCCUGGCACCCAGUGGUUUCCAUUUAUUUACACGCAACUUUUUUUCCAAGUACGUCAUCCAUCCCAGUGAACAUUACAUCUGCAUUAAGUGUAGCCUUCAAAUCAGUCUACAAUUGUAACUACAUUAUGGAUGCAACAAGAAUAAAACAUUGGAAAAACUAUGCAGAUUUGUUGUUGACUUGGAUACAUUGCUAAUAAAUAUUCAUACUGUGCAGAAAUAAAAAGAAACCAAGUAGGAAAAUACUCCUAAAACUGAAUUUAACAAAUGUUUAGCAACUAUGCUAAUAAUACCGAUUUUAAUUAAAAAGCUGAAAUAAAGAACACAAAACUACUUGAUAACUGUAAAAAGACUUGAAACCUGUUCCUAAAAAACUGAGUGACCAAUUGAACACUCCCCUCCAAGCUACUGAAAACUCCCUAGAAGGCUGGACACUAACACUUCCUACUGUUUUGGAUUGUUUGCGAUGAGAAUAGAAACUAAGAAUUCUAUCACAGCUUUGAUUAAUUCAAGUCUCUUUGAUUGCUGCACUGUAGUGUACACAGUGAGGCAGGGCUGAGAGAGGAGGGAAGCGUCUGUUUUGACUGACUUGAUCCCUAGUGAGCUUUGAAUUCUCAGAUCGCACAGGCCAAAAAAAGGGGAAAAAAAGUGAUGGGUGUCUGAAAAAAUCUACAAAUCCCCAAACACAGAGGUGGAACAUGGGAUAGUACAAGUGUGAGACACAAAAAGUCCAUUGUAAUAGUAUGCACAUUAGAUUGUAAGUGAGGUAUUGAUAUACUGUAUAGUGCGUAGGAUAUUUACAGUGCAUGGAGCUCAAGCUCAUUCAUGUGUCUUCAAAUUCCUGCUGUUUACAUGAGGCAGGAAGCUUGAAGAGCUUUCUUUUUCAGUCACGUGGUUAUUUGUAGAAUAACUCGAUUUCAAAACUUCCUUUCUGUACAGAGGUUCAAAAAUGCUGUACUUAAAGACCCCAGUCGGUGCCUUGACCCACAGCUGUGUAGAUCAGUCAUGUAUCAGCUGGUGUUUACAGAUCAUUAUGCAGGCUUAUCAUCAAACGCCAACGCAAGAAGAAGCUACUGGAAGACGAUUUGUCGAGGAGGGAACCUGUAAAUUCAGACAUGUCCUGCUGCAUAUGCUACAAAUAGACUGCUGCCAUUUGUGCUGGCAGGUAAGACACGUAGUUUCAGGGGUCAGAUGUCAUUCUGCCUUUUCUUUUUUUCUCUCUCUGUUGCCAAGCAACAUUAGCCCUCCUUAUUAUGGACCAUUUGUGACAUUAAAGUGGACAACAGAUGUUCAGAGUUCUCAACUUGAAUUGAGACAGACUUUGGUUAAUGCAGGCUUCCUUUUUCAUAAGAUUAAAAACAAGCUGCGCUCUAUUUGUAAGUACAGGGAAUAAGCAAUCAAGCGCAUUACGCUGCACAGUUUAGCCCUCAUUUACACAAUGGGCAUUUUGAUAACAGUGCAAUGGAUACAGCUGAGGAUUUAGACAGUAUUAGGGCAAGUUCAGCCAGUAAAAAUACAAAAAACAAGUCUAUUUAAUAGUUGCUUAGUCAGUUUUCAUCCAGCGUAUGCGAAUAAUGGGCUGUUUGCAUAAAGUGUAUCCCCAGUAAAUACUUGUAUUUCUGUCUGAUGUUCUUAUUUGGUGCUAUUUUAAAAUUUAAGUGUGGCUGUUUCAAUUUUAGAAUGCCUUUCCUGGCCAUGUUUUUAUACAUAUGUGAGUUAGUCUAAUCAAUCCUCACCCACUUCAAAUAAUCAGUACUUAUGGACAUUUUGUGCCAUCUCUGUAUGCCCCUUAGCAUAUUUGAAGUAUUUGCAACUACAGAGUUAAAGUUUCUUACCUUCUAGAUAGAGCUGAAUCAGAAUGGUUGUUUGAGUGCCUUUUCUAUCAAUACCACUGCAUAUAUAACCACACUCUACUUUGAUUUCCCGACUGUAAGUCUACCUCAUCUCUUGAUCCAGCCUCUAGUCUCUGGCACUUUCUCCAAAAAGUGCUGUCAAUGUCCAAGAAAGGGUUUCAGUUUUAUUAAAAUAUGCCUUUCUUCACUUGGCAAAUCUGAUGAAAAGUACCUGUUACAAUAAGUAAGUGAAGACACUGAAUAACCUUCAAUCUCUGGAUCUAAGUCUAAAAAGGCCCCCUGUUGCUUUUCUGAUGUCAGAUCAAAUACACUGUACUGCAUAUCCCUGUAAUACAUUUAGCAAACUUGGAAACAUAGAUCAUCACAUGGUUCAGAAUCCGACCAGGCUGGCUCAUCUUCAAAGAGUUACAACUGGAAGACUUUGCUGAAAAGAUCUGACACCCCUCUGACCCUUUAUAAGCGCCUUCCUCUUUCAUUACUAAGCCUCAUUACUGAGGCUGUUCUCCUUGCUCACACUUUCCUCCAUCACCACCAAUAUGAAUCUCUGCGGACAUCAAAGGAGAUCUGCUAAGCCAUAUGCAAUGUCAAGGAUUACAAAUGGAGAAAAAAAAAUCUUGAGUCUGCUGGCCUGUCAUAGGAAAUUCUUUCUUGUAACUUUCACCUAUUCUGUUGCACUGUAUUGAAACAAAGUGUAGAAUGUUGACAUUAUCUUGAGUGACACUUUUUGUUGAUGCAUUUCUCUGCUUAUUUGUGGUGUUUAAUGCUUAAAUCACUCAUUCUACCUUUUCUAUUUGAUAUCAUUGAAGACUGACAACAUAAAUUGCCCAAACAGUAUCAUAGGAGAUUGCAGACAGCAGCAUUAGCGACUCUGAAAGCUGCACUCCAUUAAUUCAGAAGUUUGCUUUCACUUAAUUUAACAUAUGUUCAUUUACAUUAUACAUUUAUGCAGCUGUGGCUCCUUUUCUGUGUUUUUAAAGUAAGCAGUGUUCCAUGACUCAGACAUGGUUAGCCUUAUUGAUUCCAUAUUACUAUCUUUGCCUGAUUUCUCUGACUGAAACUUCCACAUAGUUUCAUGUGGGUAUGCAGCACCUCCUGGAUGGCAGCAGCCUUCACAGGGUAGUAAUGUCUCAUUAACGUAAAUCUUCUUGGGUGUUUUGGAGCCGUGACUCAGCUCUGGCCAGGUUCAGUAUGGCUUACUGGAUUACUUUACUCUCUGAAACAUUUGGCCUACAUACCAGCCUAUAAAUUAUUUUGGAAUGAGAAAAGUCCUGUCAUUAGCGACUGUGUUUACCGUGACAUGAACACAAAAUGUGGACACAAAUGAUAUUUACUCAACAAAACACAUUACCAGAUUGACUGUGUUCAUUUUGUCAUCUUUUCAUUAGGUUAGCGUUUUCUUUUCAUCCAACAACUUUGUAAGAAUUAUUAAGGAUGUUUUUGCCUUCACAUGUUUCGACUGCGUCUACAGUC
Long non-coding RNA from Amphiprion ocellaris (clown anemonefish), 4716 nucleotides. Lineage: Eukaryota; Metazoa; Chordata; Actinopteri; Pomacentridae. The record is from Ensembl.